AUGGGCUUUAUAAAGAAGACAGCUAAAUGUCUGAAGACGCUGCGGAAGCGUCAUCGUAUUGCUGAUCAGAUGGAGGAGCUCAAGGUUCUUGCUCUACAGGCAAAUGAACGACGCAUGAGGUACAAGAUUGAUGAUUGCAUCAAUUCUGCUUCCCGCGUCAUUCAUGUUGAUCCUCGCAUGUCUGCAAUCUAUAAGGAUGCAAAGGGUCUGUUAGGAUCUCAGUACCAAUUUACUCAAUCAACCAUGGAUUCGGUUACAACUCUCGAAUUACAGAGGAGGAAAGGAAGGAGACCAGAGGAACAAGAUGAUGAACAGUGUCUAUCCUAG
RNAcentral lists this ribosomal RNA (327 nucleotides) under Triticum aestivum (bread wheat). RNAcentral describes it as "partial small subunit ribosomal RNA". The record is from RNAcentral. Lineage: Eukaryota; Viridiplantae; Streptophyta; Magnoliopsida; Poales; Poaceae.